Cyprinus carpio (common carp) is the source of this 285-nucleotide long non-coding RNA. NCBI's taxonomy places the organism in Eukaryota, Metazoa, Chordata, Actinopteri, Cypriniformes, Cyprinidae. The record is from Ensembl.
AUGCAAAUGGCAUGUGCUCCGUUUGCCUCCAGGACCUGCAGGAGCACAGCUGGCCUCAGUGUCAACAGGAUUCCUCAUGUGGGACGGAUCUGGAAGAAUCCAGGGCUCCGGCUGCACAUCCAGACGAAUCCAGCAACCACAAAGGACAUGGUCUGGGCUGCUACAGAACCAGCAGAGGGACAGAGGCAGCUGGAAGCGUCCAAGCAGACGGUUAGAGAUCAAGAGACUGAGCUGAAGGAAAUCCAAAAGGCAUCUCGUGGACUCAAGAACAGUAAGAUAUUCUGA